This 253-nucleotide ribosomal RNA is filed under the name uncultured bacterium. RNAcentral's name for it is "partial 16S ribosomal RNA". It matches the Rfam family "Bacterial small subunit ribosomal RNA", at positions 524 to 776 of the family's 1533-position model. The record is from RNAcentral.
UACAGAGGGUGCGAGCGUUAAUCGGAAUUACUGGGCGUAAAGCGCGCGUAGGCGGUUCGUUAAGUCGGAUGUGAAAUCCCUGAGCUCAACUUAGGAAUUGCAUUCGAUACUGGCGAACUAGAGUAUGGGAGAGGAGGGUAGAAUUCCAGGUGUAGCGGUGAAAUGCGUAGAGAUCUGGAGGAAUACCGAUGGCGAAGGCAGCCUUCUGGCCUAAUACUGUCGCUGAGGUGCGAAAGCAUGGGGAGCAAACAGG